Molecule: ribosomal RNA, 440 nt
Filed under: uncultured bacterium
Lineage: Bacteria
Description: partial 16S ribosomal RNA
Rfam family: Bacterial small subunit ribosomal RNA
Source: RNAcentral
CCUACGGGUGGCAGCAGUAGGGAAUAUUGCUCAAUGGGGGAAACCCUGAAGCAGCAACGCCGCGUGGAGGAUGAAGGUUUUAGGUUUGUAAACUCCUUUUGCUAGGGUAGUUCAUGACGGUCUCUAACUAAUAAGCACUGGCUAACUCCGUGCCAGCAGCCGCGGUAAUACGGAGGUUGCAAGCGUUAUCCGGAUUCACCGGGCGUAAAGCGUGCGUAGGCGGGGUAAUAAGUCCGAUGUGAAAUCCUGUGGCUUAACUACAGAACUGCAGUUGAAACUGGUAGUCUGGAGUGUGGGAGAGGUAGGUGGAAUUCGUGGUGUAGCGGUAAAAUCCGUAGAGAUCAAGAAGAAUACUCAUUGCGAAGGCGACCUGCUGGAACGUUACUGACGCUGAUGCUCGAAAGCGUGGGGAGCAAACAGGAUUAGAUACCCCAGUAGUC